Entelurus aequoreus (snake pipefish) is the source of this 513-nucleotide long non-coding RNA. RefSeq lists it as uncharacterized. The transcript is spliced from 2 exons. The record is from RefSeq and is a predicted model, not a curated record. NCBI's taxonomy places the organism in Eukaryota, Metazoa, Chordata, Actinopteri, Syngnathiformes, Syngnathidae.
UCAAAUGCGAUGACGCAAUGCAUGCCGCACUUAUCUCCCGCAUCGACUUGCACCUUUGCAGAAAGCCAACAGCUGCCUUGCAUCAAACUACAGCGUGCAACAUCCCGCCGACACCACAAGUCGUCGUUUAAGUGAACGGACUUCCGAACGGCGAGCAGAGCCAAGCAAGCUAGCUAGCAAGCAUGCUAGCAUGUACGGUGUACCUGCCGCAGCUGCACGUCUUACGCUCCGCGGGCGGGGCCGGCGCUCUGCGGCUUUUGUCCGCGCCCAAUCGGGAGUCACGCGGGCACACGUCGGGCCCACUUGUGACGUGCGGCGCCUCAAAUGAGCACAAAAGCUUUGGGAGGUCAGGGCGCCGUCGAAGGGUCGUGACGUCACACGCCAGUUCCCGGCGUCCCGAGUUCUCGUUCUUCUUCUUGGAGUGGGAGGAACUUUUUUUUGGUGUGCGUGCGCAAAUGGUCAAUUAAGACAAUGAUAUAAAACAUUUACAAUAAAACAUUCUAAAAAAAAAAA